Molecule: ribosomal RNA, 327 nt
Filed under: uncultured eukaryote
Lineage: Eukaryota
Description: partial 18S ribosomal RNA
Rfam family: Eukaryotic small subunit ribosomal RNA
Source: RNAcentral
CCCUUAGAUGUUCUGGGCCGCACACGCGCUACACUGAAGGAGGCAGCGUGUACUCCUGGAUCGAAAGAUUUGGGUAACCCGCGAAUCCCCUUCGUGCUAGGGAUUGAGGUUUGCAAUUAUCCUUCAUGAACGAGGAAUUCCCAGUAAGUGCAAGUCAUAAGCUUGCGCUGACUACGUCCCUGCCCUUUGUACACACCGCCCGUCGCUACUACCGAUUGAAUGAUUUAGUGAGGACUUCGGACUGGGACCGAUGCGGCUUUCGGGCUGCGUCGGUAUUCUGGAAAGAUGUCCAAACUGUAUCAUUUAGAGGAAGUAAAANUCGUANCA